Molecule: microRNA precursor, 232 nt
Filed under: Picea abies (Norway spruce)
Lineage: Eukaryota; Viridiplantae; Streptophyta; Pinopsida; Pinales; Pinaceae
Description: miR11502 stem-loop (pab-MIR11502)
Source: miRBase by way of RNAcentral
GUAAGACUUCCUGACGAACCACUUAUUGGAUUGAGAAUAGAUCUUGUGCAUAAAGAUUCACUGCUCUCUCCAAAUAUUAUAUACACUGAGCGUUUGAAGCUGAGCCUGAAGUAUCGAUUUCUGUAACUUCAUCAACCAAUUUAACAGUAUUUAGAACUCAACAUCUGUGCUUUGAAUCUAUAUGUACAAGAUUUAUUCUCAAUCCAAUAAGGGGUUCCACAGACAGUGCUAU